UCUUGGAGAUUCUUUUACAUUAUGAAUUCUAGAACAGUGGUAAGUGGUAGCUUCUACAAACAGAAAUUUACUGCCAAUGAAAUUAAAUGUGUGGCUACAACAUCAAACAACCAGAAUUUAAGAAUUAUUACAGAACAGAAUAAAGUGAGGGUCUGAAGAAUUAUCCAUAAAGCAUGAUCCUUUCAGAACGCUGGGCUUUAACUGAACACAUAGCUACCCAACUAAAGCAUCUUUUGCAGCUAGAAAUGGCCAUGUGAUCAAGUUUGGAGGAACUAGAGGGGUUGGCAAGUGAUGAGUGUGACUUUGGACCACCUCCUUGAAGAUGCAGCUGCUUCCCAGGACUUCUUUCCCACUUCCCACAGGCUGGAGAGUGGGCACCCAGGCUUUAGUCACAACCACCAAGAUGACCCUGUGGGGAGGUGACAGGGAGAGAAGAUGGACCUCUUGGAGAGGAGCAGCCACUUCUCCAGCUAUGGACUGCUGACAUAAGUACUAUUUAG
RNAcentral lists this long non-coding RNA (500 nucleotides) under Homo sapiens (human). Its description in RNAcentral is "HSALNT0383586". The record is from RNAcentral. Lineage: Eukaryota; Metazoa; Chordata; Mammalia; Primates; Hominidae.